UACAGAGGGGGCAAGCGUUGUUCGGAAUUACUGGGCGUAAAGCGCGCGCAGGCGGUCUUCCAAGUCAGUGGUGAAAGCCCGGAGCUCAACUCCGGAACUGCCAUUGAAACUGUUAGACUUGAGGACGAGAGAGGUGAGUGGAAUUCCCAGUGUAGAGGUGAAAUUCGUAGAUAUUGGGAAGAACACCGGUGGCGAAGGCGGCUCACUGGCUCGUAUCUGACGCUCAGGCGCGACAGCGUGGGGAUCAAACAGG
RNAcentral lists this ribosomal RNA (253 nucleotides) under uncultured bacterium. RNAcentral describes it as "partial 16S ribosomal RNA". It matches the Rfam family "Bacterial small subunit ribosomal RNA", at positions 524 to 776 of the family's 1533-position model. The record is from RNAcentral.